Molecule: long non-coding RNA, 369 nt
Organism: Macrosteles quadrilineatus (aster leafhopper)
Lineage: Eukaryota; Metazoa; Arthropoda; Insecta; Hemiptera; Cicadellidae
Exons: 2
Source: RefSeq, a predicted model, not a curated record
UGUACUCUUGCAACAUCAUCCCAUAUUGUCGAGUAUCUGCACACAUGACACAUCAUGUACUUGAUCAAGGUGAUUCUCCUGCUUGUGAUGUGCGCUUUCUGUGAGGCUCUCUUCAACCGUUAUGUCGAAUGUGGUUUGGGAUACUACAACUCAGGUGGUUCAGGGAAGAGAGGUUCACGCUGCAUGGAGUGCACAUCUUGGUCUAAAAACCCGAAAAAAACCUUCUUUUUAUGUAAGGAAGAAGACCUCAAUUGCCGAAAACUCUUCAGUGAUGGCAAAUUGGUUUACACUUAUUGUACCACGCAAAAGGUAUGAGCUGUAAACAUGUCUGACCAAUAAAUAAACAAAAGAAAUUCAUAUUUACUAUAA